CUGUCUCUAUCUUAUUUUUUAGAAUUUAAUCUUCAAAGAGAUAAAGCUUAAAUUUUUUAAAGGGACGAGAAGACCCUAUUGAGCUUAUAAUUUUAGGGUUGCUUAACAUUAGUUAUUUGGGGAGCAAUUUAUAAAUUUUAAUUGGGGUGAUUAAGGAAUAAAUAAGAAAAUAAUAUAGUAACUUCCUUAGAUUGAAAUAUUGUUAAAUAAAGUAACCAAUGUUAUUAUUGCUUUUAUAAUAGUUACCAUAGGGAUAACAGCGUAAUCUGUUUAGAGAGUUCUUAUUGAAAAAUGGGAUUGCGACCUCGAUGUUGGAUUAAAGUAACCUCAGGGUGCAGAAGCUU
RNAcentral lists this ribosomal RNA (344 nucleotides) under Cranchiidae environmental sample cf. Leachia sp. RNAcentral's name for it is "partial 16S ribosomal RNA". The record is from RNAcentral. Lineage: Eukaryota; Metazoa; Mollusca; Cephalopoda; Oegopsida; Cranchiidae.